This 186-nucleotide ribosomal RNA is filed under the name uncultured Achromobacter sp. RNAcentral's name for it is "partial 16S ribosomal RNA". It matches the Rfam family "Bacterial small subunit ribosomal RNA", at positions 370 to 548 of the family's 1533-position model. Lineage: Bacteria; Pseudomonadati; Pseudomonadota; Betaproteobacteria; Burkholderiales; Alcaligenaceae. The record is from RNAcentral.
AAUGGGGGCAACCCUGAUCCAGCCAUCCCGCGUGUGCGAUGAAGGCCUUCGGGUUGUAAAGCACUUUUGGCAGGAAAGAAACGUCGCGGGCUAAUACCCCGUGGAACUGACGGUACCUGCAGAAUAAGCACCGGCUAACUACGUGCCAGCAGCCGCGGUAAUACGUAGGGUGCAAGCGUUAAUCGG